GAUGAACGCUGGCGGCGUGCCUAAUACAUGCAAGUCGAGCGAACAGAUGAGGAGCUUGCUCCUCUGACGUUAGCGGCGGACGGGUGAGUAACACGUGGAUAACCUACCUAUAAGACUGGGAUAACUUCGGGAAACCGGAGCUAAUACCGGAUAAUAUAUUGAACCGCAUGGUUCAAUAGUGAAAGACGGUUUUGCUGUCACUUAUAGAUGGAUCCGCGCCGCAUUAGCUAGUUGGUAAGGUAACGGCUUACCAAGGCGACGAUGCGUAGCCGACCUGAGAGGGUGAUCGGCCACACUGGAACUGAGACACGGUCCAGACUCCUACGGGAGGCAGCAGUAGGGAAUCUUCCGCAAUGGGCGAAAGCCUGACGGAGCAACGCCGCGUGAGUGAUGAAGGUCUUCGAAUUGUAAAACUCUGUUAUUAGGGAAGAACAAAUGUGUAAGUAACUAUGCACGUCUUGACGGUACCUAAUCAGAAAGCCACGGCUAACUACGUG
RNAcentral lists this ribosomal RNA (497 nucleotides) under uncultured bacterium. RNAcentral's name for it is "partial 16S ribosomal RNA". It matches the Rfam family "Bacterial small subunit ribosomal RNA", at positions 28 to 507 of the family's 1533-position model. The record is from RNAcentral.